UUUCACCCUUUAUUUGGAUCCUAUUGGCAGGAAAUUAAAAAAGGGAAUUAAGAAAAAAAGUUUUAAUUUAUUCUAUAUUUUAUUUAAAUAAAUUAUUAAAGUAAAAAAGGAAAUAUUUUAGUUAAUAUUUCUCCGCCUUCUUCUUUUCUCUUUAAUUCUAUACUCUAUUUUUCUCUUCUCUCAAUCUCCGUAAAUCCAAACAAAGGGUCAGAGAUUUGCAUGAAUUCGGUGAGAUUUGGGUGGAUGAGGAUUAUCAAUUGGGUGAGAAGCAACUUGCGCAGAAGGGUGGGUUGCAGUUUCCCGUCGAGAGGAUCCCCAGAUUUCUUAAGGAGGGAAAGUAUACCGAGCAUUUUGGUGCUGGAGCUCCUAUAUAUCUCUCUGCUGUCCUCGAUACCUUGCUGCUGAGGUGUUGGAGCUUGGGCAUCUGGCUGAAAGCGGGUGCGGUGUCAAGCAUCAGCUUUAAAAGUGAGCUGCAGAUAUUGAAUAUCAAUUGGUUUCAAAACCAGUCGCAUGGAAAUGUUGAGGAACGCUUGCCACUGGAGUAAGUUUUUGGGCAACUAAGAAGUAAGAACUGACUUUCAACUGAAGAUGCUGAAGUUCGAUUGAAGAUUUUUGGCCUGAACAAACUUGAAGAGAAUCUAGUAAGAGAACAAGUUUUUGAAGUUCCUCAGUUUUACGUGCAAUUCCUUAUCAUGGUAAAUUCUUGAAAAGACAGCCAUGGAGAACUAACUGCUAUAGACUUCUGGUUGUUGUCUCAACCCUAAGAUCAGGUCCAGUGUAGGAAUUUAAUGGUGGAAACUGGAGAGGCUGUGUUUUGCAUCUGAGAAUAAAUUUAGUAAUCCCUGUGAUUCAACUAGAUUGUGGAAGUUAAAUUUAUUCUUUUGUUGCAGGUUCUUUCUUUUUUCUGUCAUUGAAUUAGCAGUUUUGCUGGGUUAUUUUUGUGGAGCCAAUAUGAGUUCCACUGGUCCUUCCAUGGGUUCUGAUUAGUUUAUUUCCUCUUGCAUCAUUUUCCAUUACUUAAUAAAAGAAGCUUCUUGGUUUGUAUGUGUAGCUAUGCAAAAGUUAGGCAAAUUUAUAACUGUAAUGCAUUCCAAAAUAAUUUAUGUGCAUAUAUAUACACAUGUGCUCACACUUCUCCUCCCUCAUUAAAUUCUACUUUAACAUCAUUUCAAGUGGUAAAAAUGCUAGAAGGGCAUUUGAAUUUGGAAGGACCUAUGCAAAGGUAAACGCCAAGCUACUGUUGUAUGGCUACAUGGUUUAGGUGAUAAUGGAUCAAGGUAACAUUACUUUACCAUUGCUUUCUUCAUGUCUGAUAUAUUAGUGACUUGUGCUGCUUAUCAUUCAUAUCCUGUGCUCCUCUCUUUGAGUUUUAUCAAUGUUAGGUGAAUAGAGCGUAGUGGAUAAAGAACUAACACCUAAGUAGAAUGCCCCCUCCCCCUUUCCUCUCUCUCUCUCUCUCUCUCUCAAACUUUUGAUCUUUUGGACUUAGUCAAUGUUGGCAUCAGUUAUUUGAUUAAGACAUUUGGGAUGAUCUUUUGUUGAAUAAGAAAUAGGAAUUUGUACCUGAUUUAAAAGUCCAAACUGCAUCUUUUAUACUUGCUUUCAUGUAAUAUUCUAUUGCACUUUGGAAACUGAAUGAUCCACGUUGUUUUUGAUAUGAUAUUUAAAUGAUUCCUAUAUGUCCAUUUCUUAAUUCUUAUUCAGAAUAAUAACAUUUUAGGAUUCAAAUAAAGUCUGAUUUCAAGUGCCAAAAAUUUUAACCAAUCAUUGUUACCCUUCCAUUUUAUUGCUGAUUGCAACAUUAAGGUUUAUGGAAACUGAUAUUGUGCUCAUGGUUGGUCCUCAGUCCUCCAUGGUAACCUUUAUUGAAAUUGAGCUUUGACUGCCUCUAUUAUCAUAUUCAGCUAUGGACCCAAUUCCUUCUUCACUUCAGUUCCCAUUCUUUGUUAGGACAUCUUAGAAUGGCACCAAAUAUAGCCACUUCUAGUUCUCUCAGCCACCUGCAACCUGCUUUAAAUGGACAUACUACAUUUUUUCAGUCAAUUGCCUUUUUUUGUGCUUAACAGUUCUGUUCAUCCUUUAUCUUUAUGGGUUUCAAUACGUUCAAUUUUCUGGGCACAAAGCACCUGUGUGUACAUAUAUAUAUAUAUAUAUACACACACAUAUGAGGGUUUGCCGGGAUUUAAUUAGUGUAGAUCUAAAUGCUCACAAUUAUACCUUCACUUCGUACUUCAUAUCUAUUGUUUAAUUUAUCUGCAUGUUAGAAUAUCGUUUAUCGCUCAUGGCUUUUUGCUGUUGUACACUGAUUAUUCGUUUAUUGCUAAAAUUUAAUUCAGUGUGUCCAAAGAAUGAAUUCUAGCACAUUCUCUAGAUUCUUUCGGUGUUUAAAUAUAAAAUUUCCCACCAAUUAGUUCCCCUUUUUAUUAUGAUAAGUAGGUGUCCACUUUUGCGUUUUUGUGUUUCUUCCAAGAGCAAGUUUAAGAAAGAGUGUGUUCAUCGGGCAAAGUCACCAUGAGAGUAUUUUGGACUCUGGUGUUGAUGAUUUUAAGUAAUUGAGUUGUUGUAAGUGGGGCUAAUAAAAGACCAGAAUUUGUAAACAUUGGAGCUACUUUGGCAUUCAAUUUUGCUGCUGUUCAAUUCUGCUCCAUGGAAAUUAAUUAUACAUUAGUUUAUGUUUAUGUUUUCUUAAUCUUAUUUAUAAUGAUUAUAUAAACUAUAGUACAUUAGUUUAAAGAGCAAAAAUAUUUAUAUUUCGUGGCACGGAUAUAUAUAUAUAUAUAUAUUCUUUAAUGACAGUAGUAUAGAUUGUUUUUAGCAUAUUAUCAAUUAAGAGUUUGUAUUUUAUGAAUUUAUGUUGUUAAAGUAUUUAUAAAAAAUAAAAAUAUCUUUUACAUUGAAUUUAUAAUUUAAUUAGAAUUUAUUUGAAUUAGACGUAAAUAUUUAAGUAAUAAUAUAUUUUUUAUGCAAAUAUUGAAUAAAUUUAAUUAUAUGAAAAAAGGUUUUUAAAAAAAUGAAAAACUAUGAACAGUGUCAGGGAUCAUAUAUAGAGUGGUGGAGAGAAUUUGGCUCAAAAUGCAAAAGUUGACCAUACUGAUUAAUUUUAUUUUAUUUUCCGAUUUUGAUAUUUAUCUGUUCAGUUUGAUUUUUAUUUUUUUAACUUUUUAAUUAUUAAAAAAAUUAAAAAACCCAAAUCGAAUCGAUAUAAUUUUAGUUGGCACAUUUAUUCGUCUGGAAUAUUACUUUUUGUGGUAAUGUGUUUUUGUUAAUUCAAUUCUUUUAUUGAAUCAGUUUGAUUUAAUUUUUGUAAUAUUAAUUAUUUAUUGUUUUAUUUUUUUAAUUUAAUUUUGAUUCAAUAACAGAAUUGCUUACCCAUAAUUAUAUAUGUUUGGUAGUGCUUGGAAAUCCUAACCACAGUAGUUAAGUUUUAAUCUUCUUUCUCUUAAUUUUUAGGGUUGUUUUAAAGUUAAUGUAAAGAUUAAUAAAAUCUAAAGUUUAAAGUUAGAUUUAAGUUGUCGAGAAUAGUUUUAGUUGUUUAAAUUCUAGAAUGGGAUAAUGGACCUAGGAAGAGAACUUUAGGAGCAAGUGUUGAUAUUUGGGUGUUUAAACCAUAAGUUUUAGAUUUUAGACGAAUUGUGAGAAAUUUCAGGUUCAGUGGCUAAAACAUGGAAGUUUGGUUGCCGAAACAUGUAAACAGUAACGUAAAUAGUGUAUAGAAAGUUAGGUCGCCAGACAUUCAAAUUUUGGCCCCCAAACUUGCUUUGCCAAUGCAAAUGUGUUUUUAAUUAAAAUUGUUUAAAUCUAAAACUAAAUGUCUUAUCAAAUCAAACCUUUUCUUGUAAACAAGAGUUAGGACAUGAAGGGCCAAAAAUCAAGAAUCUAAGAGUCAUCAGAUGAAAGUGUAAGAGUUGACACCAUAAGGUGAAACUCUAUUAAAAUAAAUGCUCCUCUAUGCAUACACGUGCAUUCAUGCAUCCUGACCUAUUUUAUCAGAUAUAAAUGCAUCCUUUGGUUAAUUAUGUAAAUAUUUUACGUUUAAUUAUGUAAAUAUUUUACGUUCACAAUUACGCUGUAUAAUUGCUUAUGUUGUUCUGGUAGUUCAUGGAUUACAAAGUGAUGCCAAAAGAAAAAAAGAAAUACAUGCAUGCUAAAUGGACUCACAAACUCCUUGAGGGAAAUGAUCCGGUGUAUAUUCCAAGAUGAGGUGGUGAGAUCCACAAGGCUCCUUGAGGGAAAUAAUCUAGUGUUUAUCCAAAGACAGAAGGCCUAGAAAAGAUGGGGAACCUGGUAAAGUAAUUACGUGUUUCUAACCCUAUUUAUUUGAUAUGAUAUGUUUAUGAAAUGGCUGAAGAAUCACUGAUGACAUGAAUUGCCUUGCUGUGAAUUGUUUAUGCUGUGAAAACUUAUGUGACUACUGCAUAUUCAUGUACUUGUAUAUAAUUGUUUACAUGUAUGUUUUAUUCCUUAAGUAGACUUUUACUCACCGAGCUCUCAACUGACUCCCCUUUUUUUGUCUCCACCUUUAGAGACGAGUAUAGAAGAUACAAUAAAUGGUUUUGCUAGCUGAGUUCUAGAGGUUAUUGCCUCAAUUUUACUGUACAUUUUGUGGAACUUCUUUUGUAAUGACAUGUAAUUUUGCUAUUGUAGUACUAUAUUUUGCCACCCAGUAUUUUGUAAAAUUAAAAUGUAAAUAUUGUUUUAUGUUAAUGAAAGUAUUUUCAUGAAUAA
Hevea brasiliensis (rubber tree) is the source of this 4725-nucleotide long non-coding RNA. RefSeq lists it as uncharacterized. The record is from RefSeq and is a predicted model, not a curated record. The transcript is spliced from 4 exons. NCBI's taxonomy places the organism in Eukaryota, Viridiplantae, Streptophyta, Magnoliopsida, Malpighiales, Euphorbiaceae.